AUUGAACGCUGGCGGCAGGCCUAACACAUGCAAGUCGAACGGUAACAGGAAGAAGCUUGCUUCUUUGCUGACGAGUGGCGGACGGGUGAGUAAUGUCUGGGAAACUGCCUGAUGGAGGGGGAUAACUACUGGAAACGGUAGCUAAUACCGCAUAACGUCGCAAGACCAAAGAGGGGGACCUUCGGGCCUCUUGCCAUCGGAUGUGCCCAGAUGGGAUUAGCUAGUAGGUGGGGUAACGGCUCACCUAGGCGACGAUCCCUAGCUGGUCUGAGAGGAUGACCAGCCACACUGGAACUGAGACACGGUCCAGACUCCUACGGGAGGCAGCAGUGGGGAAUAUUGCACAAAGGGCGCAAGCCUGAUGCAGCCAUGCCGCGUGUAUGAAGAAGGCCUUCGGGUCGUAAAGUACUUUCAGCGGGGAGGAAGGGAGUAAAGUUAAUACCUUUGCUCAUUGACGUUACCCGCAGAAGAAGCACCGGCUAACUCCGUG
Molecule: ribosomal RNA, 490 nt
Filed under: uncultured bacterium
Lineage: Bacteria
Description: partial 16S ribosomal RNA
Rfam family: Bacterial small subunit ribosomal RNA
Source: RNAcentral